This 70-nucleotide transfer RNA is filed under the name Emberiza aureola (yellow-breasted bunting). RNAcentral's name for it is "tRNA-Val". It matches the Rfam family "tRNA". From Rfam's summary of the family: Transfer RNA (tRNA) molecules are approximately 80 nucleotides in length. Their secondary structure includes four short double-helical elements and three loops (D, anti-codon, and T loops). The record is from RNAcentral. RNAcentral also lists the same sequence under 1 other name. Lineage: Eukaryota; Metazoa; Chordata; Aves; Passeriformes; Fringillidae.
CAAGACGUAGCUUAAACAAAAGCAUUCAGCUUACACCUGAAAAAUGUCUGUUAAUACCAGAUCGUCUUGA